Molecule: ribosomal RNA, 460 nt
Filed under: uncultured bacterium
Lineage: Bacteria
Description: partial 16S ribosomal RNA
Rfam family: Bacterial small subunit ribosomal RNA
Source: RNAcentral
ACUACGGGAGGCAGCAGUGAGGAAUAUUGGUCAAUGGACGGAAGUCUGAACCAGCCAUGCCGCGUGCAGGAAGACGGCGCUAUGAGUUGUAAACUGCUUUUGUACAAGGGUAAACCUGAAUACGUGUAUUCAGCUGAAAGUACUGUACGAAUAAGGAUCGGCUAACUCCGUGCCAGCAGCCGCGGUAAUACGGAGGAUCCAAGCGUUAUCCGGAUUUAUUGGGUUUAAAGGGUGAGUAGGCGGAUUGAUAAGUUAGAGGUGAAAUGUCCGCGCUUAACUCGGGAACUGCCUCUAAUACUGUUUAUCUAGAGCUUAGGUGCGGUAGGCGGAAUGUAUGGUGUAGCGGUGAAAUGCUUAGAGAUCAUACAGAACACCGAUUGCGAAGGCAGCUUACCAAUCUAUAUCUGACGUUGAGGCACGAAAGCGUGGGGAGCAAACAGGAUUAGAUACCCGGGUAGUC